CGGGCGGGUGAGUAACGCGUGGAUAACCUGCCGUAUGCAGGGGGAUACCAACUGGAAACAGUUGCUAAUACCGCAUAAGCGCACAGUACCGCAUGGUAUAGUGUGAAAAGAUUUAUCGGCAUACGAUGGAUCCGCGUCCGAUUAGCCAGUUGGCGGGGUAGAAGCCCACCAAAGCGACGAUCGGUAGCCGGCCUGAGAGGGCGGACGGCCACAUUGGGACUGAGACACGGCCCAAACUCCUACGGGAGGCAGCAG
This 255-nucleotide ribosomal RNA is filed under the name uncultured bacterium. RNAcentral's name for it is "partial 16S ribosomal RNA". It matches the Rfam family "Bacterial small subunit ribosomal RNA", at positions 99 to 354 of the family's 1533-position model. The record is from RNAcentral.